GGGAACGCGAGGGGAACGCGAGGGGAACGCGGGAGCUGCUCAGACUCAGGCAGCGCCCCGCACGCUCCCUCAGGGUCACCCCACACCGCUCUUCCAGGAUCGCCCCACAGCCCUCCUGUGACACCUCGAUCCUCCUCCAGGGACAACCUGCACACUUCCCCAGGGUCACCUGAGCUCGAGGGCUGGUGACUUGGAAACCUUGGAAACCAGUCCGGCAGGACCCACCCGGACCUGCUGUUGGGCGGCCGCAUUCCAGGCCUGUGCCAUCACUUGGGAAAGAGGGUGCGGGCCUGCCUGGGCUCCAGGGGUGGGCGGGUGGCCGGCCCCCGGCUGCAUACGCACAACCAAAUUCUGCCUGCGAGAAACUCGGGUUGUGAGUCUCACAAAGCUCACUACCUGCGAGGCGAGGGCGCACCCGCGACACUCCAGUCCUGGACAGCCCUGUGCCCCGCGCUGCCCACGGUGGAACCCAGAAAGGCGCUGGGUCCACGCCAGUUCCAGAGCAGGUCCCGAAGAGGUGCUAGUUCUCUGGACACGGGUCCUCCACCUGGUCUCUACUGACACAGUGACACACACACGGACAGAGGCCUUCCUGCACACGGGACAGCACGCAGACCAGCGCCCUUACAGAAACAGAUGAAGGACGUGACAGCAAGACAAGGUAAGAUUGACACCAAGGAUCUUGACUAGGAGGACUACAAAGCUGGGGCUCCCUUGGAGAGAUGGAGGUGAGUGUGGGCAGAGGGCGCUGGUUUGCACCUGAGGAGACAGCGCGGUCUGAACCACAGUGGGUUCUGAGGGGUGAGCUGUGGAUUCACCUUUGGACUGGGAAGC
Heterocephalus glaber (naked mole-rat) is the source of this 834-nucleotide long non-coding RNA. The record is from Ensembl. Lineage: Eukaryota; Metazoa; Chordata; Mammalia; Rodentia; Bathyergidae.